GAACUACGCAAGUGGGAUUUGGGUAUUCCAAGAUUUAACUUGCUCACCAACUGUUUGUGGGAAGGUCUGUAAGAAAAAGUGUUUUGUUUUGAUACAUUACAUCCGAACGAGGAUGGUAGCUUUGAAUAUACCAGAAUUGGCGAUGCUUCCAUUGGUAUUAGUUGCAGAGAUUUUCGGUUGAAGAACACUGGAUCAGCUCAUCAGACCGUUUAUUAAGCUUCUUCCACCUGAAAAUUUGGUCACUUUUAC
This 249-nucleotide unclassified non-coding RNA is filed under the name Hevea brasiliensis (rubber tree). Lineage: Eukaryota; Viridiplantae; Streptophyta; Magnoliopsida; Malpighiales; Euphorbiaceae. The record is from RNAcentral.